RNAcentral lists this unclassified non-coding RNA (172 nucleotides) under soil metagenome. RNAcentral describes it as "partial internal transcribed spacer 1". The record is from RNAcentral.
CAAAGUUAUAACACUUGGGGAAAGGACUCGUCCUUUCGGGACUUGAGGCCUGACUCCAUUUGUAACACAACUUUCAACCACUUGUGACAUGUAAUAAUUAUCUCACCAAUUGACUGUUAACGAAGUCUGAUUCAAAUUGUAUUGGUGUUAUAGACACUAGUAAAAUAUGAAA